This 321-nucleotide ribosomal RNA is filed under the name Triticum aestivum (bread wheat). Its description in RNAcentral is "partial small subunit ribosomal RNA". Lineage: Eukaryota; Viridiplantae; Streptophyta; Magnoliopsida; Poales; Poaceae. The record is from RNAcentral.
AUGGAAGCUUUACCCCCAUCCUCUGCAUGUUCAGAUGCAUACAACCCUACUUAUUACAUCCUUUAUUGCAAAGUCACCAAACAAAGGUCUUUCCAACAAAAGGGAAAAAACCAAAAACCAACAAAGUACUAUAACAUACAUGCCAAAGAAGAUCACUCUGAAUACCAAGAAAUCUGUCAUCGACAACAUCUCAUAUUUAUCUCAUCUUUUUUUUUUCAAGAAAAUGCAAAAGCUUUGUGUUUUGAUGCAUUGUUAUCAAGAAUUUGUACAAGCCCAAAGAAGGGCACACCCGGUUUACAACACGGCGCCCCUAGCCGCUAG